RNAcentral lists this ribosomal RNA (497 nucleotides) under uncultured bacterium. RNAcentral's name for it is "partial 16S ribosomal RNA". It matches the Rfam family "Bacterial small subunit ribosomal RNA", at positions 28 to 507 of the family's 1533-position model. The record is from RNAcentral.
GAUGAACGCUGGCGGCGUGCCUAAUACAUGCAAGUCGAGCGAACGGACGAGAAGCUUGCUUUUCUGAUGUUAGCGGCGGACGGGUGAGUAACACGUGGAUAACCUACCUAUAAGACUGGGAUAACUUCGGGAAACCGGAUCUAAUACCGGAUAAUAUUUUGAACGGCAUGGUUCAAAAGUGAAAGACGGUCUUGCUGUCACUAAUAGAUGGAUCCGCGCUGCAUUAGCUAGUUGGUAAGGUAACGGCUUACCAAGGCAACGAUGCAUAGCUGACCUGAGAGGGUGAUCGGCCACACUGGAACUGAGACACGGUCCAGACUCCUACGGGAGGCAGCAGUGGGGAAUAUUGCACAAUGGGCGAAAGCCUGAUGGAGCCAUGCCGCGUGAGUGAAGAAGGUCUUCGGAUCGUAAAACUCUGUUAUUAGGGAGGAACAUAUGUGUAUUAAUAUGUGCACGUUUUGACGGUACCAAAAGAGAAAGCAACGGCUAACUACGUG